GAGAAUGUUGGUAGGUAGGAUAGUAGGGCCAUCAGUAAUUAAUGGAGAUUGAAGUAAGAAAACUUUGGGUGGAAAAGGGUUACAGGUUUUAAAGAAAAUAAAUUUGAAAGGAGCAUUAGUGAGAAGUUAAUAUAAGUAGAAAAUGAAAGAAAAAGUAGUUGCAGGGUGAUUUACGUGGUUAUCCAACAUGAGAGAAAAAAAAUGUAGAAAAUGAUAUACGUAAGAUAGUAUGUAUAUUUAUAUGUAUAUAAAUUAGUAGCAGAGAGUUACGUAACUUAAUAAUAAUAAUAUAAUAUAAUAUAUUAAAGUGUGGGUACUUGGUAGGUUCUCGUAAGUAACCUCAAUGAAAGUAAAUUUUGAUUGAGGCGUGGUCUCACUUCAAUAUUCACUUCAAUAUUUAUUGCAAUAUAAUAUAUUGUCUUUACGUUUUAACACGUAUUAGUGUAAGGGUAGUUUUCUUGGUGAUGGUAGAAUCACACGCAGAGUUUCGGGUUGGGCGUUAGAUACCUAUAAUUUUUUUUAGUACUCUUGUAAUUGUUUUUAGUUGUAUUAAAAGCAAAGUAAUAGCAUAAUCAUGAUAGAAAUUUAGUAUGUUACGGAUACUAUUUUAUUUAUAUAAAUUUAUGAAUGUGUUGGAUAUUUUGGUUAAUUGUUGUGGUGUUCGAUUAUUUUAAUGAAAUAAUUAUAUUGAGUUCUAGAAUUUUAAAUUAGUGAGUUAAUGUAUAAUACAUAUUAUUGAGAAUGUGUAUGGAUAUGUAAUAUAAAUAUGAAACUAUGUUAUUUUCUUGUACUGUCGUCGGUCAUGUUUGAGUUUUUCGUACUGCGCUACGAUAAGAAUGUGAUGUGUUGGACUCUCGUUUACGAGAUAGUGAUUCGAGUGUCACUUCCCUCUGCGCGUGGAGGUGGAUGUCUCGCCCAAAAGGCUUUUCGAAAGGUCGGGGAGAUAGGUCGGAAGUUGCGAUGGAAGACGACUCGAAUUGCCCUGUUGAGGAACAGGUACCUGUUAGUGAUAACAGGUCAUGACGACACAGUAUAAGAAAACGAUAUUGAUUCAUGAAUGGCUUAAAUGUGAUGAUGAUGUUGUGAUGAAAUAUGUUUAUAUGAUUAUAUUAUUUUUGUGAUUAAAAUGAAUAUGUUUUGUUGUGUGUUAUGAUAUUUCUGGUUGCUCACCCUGAAAGUUGUGGUUGUGGUUUCC
This 1195-nucleotide long non-coding RNA is filed under the name Vigna radiata. Its description in RNAcentral is "long non-coding RNA (VRAD_LNC008276)". Lineage: Eukaryota; Viridiplantae; Streptophyta; Magnoliopsida; Fabales; Fabaceae. The record is from RNAcentral.